UACAGAGGGUGCGAGCGUUAAUCGGAAUUACUGGGCGUAAAGGGUGCGUAGGCGGUCGUGUAAGUCGGGUGUGAAAGCCCCGUGCUCAACCUGGGAAUUGCAUUCGAGACUGCACGGCUAGAGUGCGGAAGAGGGAAGCGGAAUUUGCGGUGUAGCGGUGAAAUGCGUAUAUAUCGGAAGGAACAUCAGUGGCGAAAGCGGCUUCCUGGUCCAGCACUGACGCUCAGGCACGAAAGCGUGGGGAGCAAACAGG
RNAcentral lists this ribosomal RNA (253 nucleotides) under uncultured bacterium. Its description in RNAcentral is "partial 16S ribosomal RNA". It matches the Rfam family "Bacterial small subunit ribosomal RNA", at positions 524 to 776 of the family's 1533-position model. The record is from RNAcentral.